UGUGUGUACCUCUGAGUGUGAGUGUGUAGUGUCCAGUCUGGGUGUAGCUCACUGUAGGGCUGUAGCUCUCGAGACUUCUACAACACCGAAGGUUCUGGAACUCUCCUGUCUGCAUCUCCACGGCAACCGCCUGUUCCUCCCUGGACGCCGGGCAGUACUGUAGGGGCACUGUCUCCAUGGCAACGCGAGCCAGGCCCAGCCGACACCCACCCAACAACGAGACAGGAGAGGAGGGGGCCGUGAGGAAGGCCUGAUCAUCAUCAUCCUCAUCCUCAUCUUCAUCAUAGUUGGUCUCCAGGAACUCCAUGGAAGCUUCCCACAGACUGCCCUCUGACAGAGAGAUGUCACAACUACACUGUUACUACAGACUGCCCUCUGACAGAGAGAUGUCACAACUACACUGUUACUACAGACUGCCCUCUGAUACAGCCACCGUUUCACCUACAUCACUCAUUUAGUGGUUAAUAGAGGCUACUCCAUCACUCAUUAAGUGGUUAAUAGAGGCUACUCCAUCACUCAUUUAGUGGUUAAUAGUGGCUACUCCAUCACUCAUUUUGUGGUUAAUAGUGACUACUCCAUCACCCAUUGUCACGCCCUGGUCGAAGUAUUUUGUGUUUAUCUUUAUUUAUUGGGUCAGGCCAGGGUGUGGCAUGGGUUUUUGUAUGUGGUGUGUAUAUAUGGGGGAUUGUAGCUAGUGGGGUGUUCUAGAUAAGUCUAUGGCUGUCUGAAGUGGUUCUCAAUCAGAGGCAGGUGUUUAUCGUUGUCUCUGAUUGGGAACCAUAUUUAGGCAGCCAUAUUCUUUGAGUUUGGUGUGCGUGAUUGUCCUUAGUGUCUUUGUUCCUGUCGCUGUGUUAGUUGACACAAGUAUAGGCUGUUUCGGUUUUCGUUACGUUUAUUGUUUUGUAGUGUUUUGUGUGUAUUCGUGUUACGUUUGUUUGAUUAAACAUGGAUCGCAAUCUACACGCUGCAUUUUGGUCCGAUCUUUGCUACACCUCCUCGUCCGAGGAGGAGACAGUAGAAAACCGUUACACCCAUUUAGUGGUUAAUAGUGGCUACUCCAUCACUCAUUUAGUGGUUAAUAGUGUCUACUCCAUCACUCAUUUAGUGGUUAAUAGUGGCUACUCCAUCACUCAUUUAGUGGUUAACAGUGUCUACUCCAUCACUCAUUUAGUGGUUAAUAAUGGUUAAUAGUGGCUACUCCAUCACUCAUUUAGUGGUUAAUAGAGGCUACUCCAUCACUCGAGGUGCUAAGUGGUUUUUAGUGGGCGUAUAUCUCUCCACGUGCCUUUUGUCAUUUCUCUGCACCUUCCUGCUGCGUCAGAGGUGAAAUGGACUGCUGUACCUAAUUAUUCUAUAUCAACAUUUUUAUGUGGUUAUUGAGGGAAGUAAUUACCUAGAUAAUUAUUGAUAUCAUUUAUCACCAUUAUAUCAUUUAUCACCAUUUAUACCAUUUAUCGACUGCCCUUUGAGACAUGCUACAACAACAACGUUACAACUACACCCUUACUACAACCUUACUACAGACAUGUUACAACUACACCCUUACUACAACACUACUACAACCUUACUACAGACUGCCCUUUGAGAUAUGUUACAACAACAACGUUACUACAACCUUACUACAGACAUGUUACAACUACACCCUUACUACAACACUACUACAACCUUACUACAGACAUGUUACAACUACACCCUUACAACAACACUACUACAACCUUACUACAGACUGCCAUUUGAAACAUGUUACAACUAGAACCUCUACUACAACCUUACUACUGACUGCCCUUUGAGACAUGUUACAACUACAACCCUACUACAACCAUGUUACAACUACAACAUAAAUACAACCUUAAUACAGACUGCCCUUUGAGACCUGUUACAACUACAAUGUUACGAUAACCUUCCUACAACAUUACUACAGACUGCCAUUUGAGACAUGUUAUAACUGCAACGUUACUACAACCUUACUACAGACAUGUUACAACUACAACGUUUCUACAACCUUACUACAGAUUGCCCUUUGAGACAUGUUACAACUACAAUGUUACUACAACACUACUACAACCUUACUACCGGGUUCUGUUCCUCUAAAAUCAGUCUGACCUGUGUAUUACUACAUUACUAAUCAGUCUGACCUGUGUAUUACUACAUUACUAAUCAGUCUGACCUGUG
Oncorhynchus tshawytscha (Chinook salmon) is the source of this 2172-nucleotide long non-coding RNA. Lineage: Eukaryota; Metazoa; Chordata; Actinopteri; Salmoniformes; Salmonidae. The record is from Ensembl.